This 68-nucleotide small RNA is filed under the name Mycobacterium pseudokansasii. Its description in RNAcentral is "ASdes TB sRNA". It matches the Rfam family "ASdes TB sRNA". Lineage: Bacteria; Bacillati; Actinomycetota; Actinomycetes; Mycobacteriales; Mycobacteriaceae. The record is from Rfam by way of RNAcentral.
AGCUCGACCGGGUCGACAGCCCGGGUUACCACCAGGUAGUCGCGCAGCGCGGUGCUGUGCCGGUUCUC